Molecule: long non-coding RNA, 283 nt
Filed under: Homo sapiens (human)
Lineage: Eukaryota; Metazoa; Chordata; Mammalia; Primates; Hominidae
Description: HSALNT0137977
Source: RNAcentral
GGGAGACUUUCUUGGAAACAGAUAAAGGAAAGAGUCCAGUAAUUUGUAGCAAUGUGACUGCAGCCACACAUGCUCCAGAAUUAAUGUUCUUCAUUAGGGCCAGAUGUAGCUCAUCAUCGGUUGGAAUCAAUUCCAGAAGAGGUGUUAGAGUCUGUUGGUCCAAGAGAAAGUCUGAUCCAGGCACCAAAAAGAGCCAUGAGGAAAAUGGAUACUAUCUCCACUGAUCUCCCAACAAUUUAGGUAGUCCAAUAUUCAGUUCAUAUUAAGCAGUGGGAUAACCUAG